CCUACGAGGGGCUGCAGUGAGGAAUAUUGGUCAAUGGACGCAAGUCUGAACCAGCCAAGUAGCGUGCAGGAUGACGGCCCUCCGGGUUGUAAACUGCUUUUAGUUGGGAAUAAAAGGGGGCUCGUGAGCCCCGUAUUGUAUGUACCAUCAGAAAAAGGACCGGCUAAUUCCGUGCCAGCAGCCGCGGUAAUACGGAAGGUCCGGGCGUUAUCCGGAUUUAUUGGGUUUAAAGGGAGCGUAGGCCGGCUUUUAAGGCCGCUGUGAAAGUCCGCGGCUCAACCGUGGAAUUGCAGUUGAAACUGGAGGCAUUGGGGGCACACAGGGAUGCCGGAAUUCAUGGUGUAGCGGUGAAAUGCUUAGAUAUCAUGAAGAACUCCGAUCGCGAAGGCAAGUGUCCGGGGUGCAACUGACGCUGAGGCUCGAAAGUGCGGGUAUCAAACAGGAUUAGAUACCCCGGUAGUC
This 462-nucleotide ribosomal RNA is filed under the name uncultured bacterium. RNAcentral describes it as "partial 16S ribosomal RNA". It matches the Rfam family "Bacterial small subunit ribosomal RNA", at positions 338 to 795 of the family's 1533-position model. The record is from RNAcentral.